Molecule: ribosomal RNA, 400 nt
Filed under: uncultured bacterium
Lineage: Bacteria
Description: bacterial SSU rRNA
Rfam family: Bacterial small subunit ribosomal RNA
Source: RNAcentral
GACGAACGCUGGCGGCGUGCUUAACACAUGCAAGUCGAGCGGUAAGGCCCUUUCGGGGGUACACGAGCGGCGAACGGGUGAGUAACACGUGGGUGACCUGCCCUCAGCUCUGGGAUAAGCCUGGGAAACCGGGUCUAAUACUGGAUAUGACUCCAUGACGCAUGUUGUGGGGUGGAAAGCCUUGUGCGGCUGAGGAUGGGCCCGCGGCCUAUCAGCUUGUUGGUGGGGUGAGGCCUACCAAGGCGACGACGGGUAGCCGGCCUGAGAGGGCGACCGGCCACACUGGGACUGAGACACGGCCCAGACUCCUACGGGAGGCAGCAGUGGGGAAUCUUGCGCAAUGGGCGAAAGCCUGACGCAGCGACGCCGCGUGAGGGAUGACGGCCUCGGUUGUAACGUC